GCUGACACAUCCCUGCCAAUCUCCAGCAGACCCUCCCUCCCAGACCCUCCCACCUCCUGGACAGCAUCCAUGUUGAAGGCAGCUUCAACAUGGAUGCUGUCCAGGAAGUAGGAGGGUCUGGGAGGGAGGGUCUGCUGGAGAUUGGCUGGGAUGUGUCAG
Non-coding RNA from Pelobates cultripes (western spadefoot toad), 159 nucleotides. Lineage: Eukaryota; Metazoa; Chordata; Amphibia; Anura; Pelobatidae. The record is from the annotation of a GenBank genome assembly.